CCCACUUCCCGUAAUUCUCUCUAAAACUAAAUCAUCACCCUCUCAAUUAAAACACUUAGUCACAUCAAAUUUGAAGGCCGCUUCACCACUGCAACCGCUGGAAAACAAGGAAUCGCUUCAUCACUGCAACCGCUGGAAAACAACCGCCGAUGUACAAGUAUGGAGCAAGUGGUUCGUCACGAGCAUAACCGAGUAGGGCCUUCUUCCAUUUUGUCGUGCCUCUCGUAGUCUCGUGUAGCAAUGUAACAGUAAACGACCCAGUUGAGUCUAAAAGGCAGGACCAUUGGUCUUCGCCCCGACGCACACUAGCUGAUCUAAUCAUAGACAAC
This 329-nucleotide long non-coding RNA is filed under the name Helianthus annuus (common sunflower). Its description in RNAcentral is "sRNA HanXRQr2_Chr09g0395591". Lineage: Eukaryota; Viridiplantae; Streptophyta; Magnoliopsida; Asterales; Asteraceae. The record is from RNAcentral.